Molecule: unclassified non-coding RNA, 164 nt
Filed under: soil metagenome
Description: partial internal transcribed spacer 1
Source: RNAcentral
AUGAGUACUUGCCCUUACGGGUAGAUCUCCCACCCUUGAAUUAUUAUAACCUUUGUUGCUUUGGCGGGCCCGUCCUCGGACCUACCGGCUUCGGCUGGUGCAGUGCCCGCCAGAGGAACCUAAACUCUGAAUUUAUAGUGUGUCUGAGUACUAUAUAAUAGUUA